Molecule: ribosomal RNA, 322 nt
Filed under: uncultured soil bacterium
Lineage: Bacteria
Description: bacterial SSU rRNA
Rfam family: Bacterial small subunit ribosomal RNA
Source: RNAcentral
AGAGUGAACGCUGGCGGUAGGCCUAACACAUGCAAGUCGAACGGCAGCACGGUAAGAGCUUGCUCUUAUGGGUGGCGAGUGGCGGACGGGUGAGGAAUACAUCGGAAUCUACCUUUUGGUGGGGGAUAACGUAGGGAAACUUACGCUAAUACCGCAUACGCCCUUCGGGGGAAAGCCGGGGGCCAGCAAUGGCCUGGCGCUGAUAGAUGAGCCGAUGUCGGAUUAGCUAGUUGGUGAGGUAAUGGCUCACCAAGGCGACGAUCCGUAGCUGGUCUGAGAGGAUGAUCAGCCACACUGGAACUGAGACACGGUCCAGACUCCU